RNAcentral lists this ribosomal RNA (504 nucleotides) under uncultured bacterium. RNAcentral describes it as "partial 16S ribosomal RNA". It matches the Rfam family "Bacterial small subunit ribosomal RNA", at positions 28 to 507 of the family's 1533-position model. The record is from RNAcentral.
GACGAACGCUGGCGGCGUGCUUAACACAUGCCAGUCGAACGGUGAAGCGCUUGCCUUUUUGGUGGGUGUGGAUGAGUGGCGAACGGGUGAGUAACACGUGAGUAACCUGCCCUCUUCUUGUGGAUAACCUCAUGAAAGUGGGGCUAAUACGGGGUAUUCCGGGUCUGUCGCAUGGCGGGUUUGGGAAAGAUUGCGCCUUUGGGUGUUUUCGGUGGGGGAUGGGCUCGCGGCCUAUCAGCUUGUUGGUGGGGUGAUGGCCUACCAAGGCGGUGACGGGUAGCCGGCCUGAGAGGGUGGACGGCCACACUGGGACUGAGACACGGCCCAGACUCCUGCGGGAGGCAGCAGUGGGGAAUAUUGCACAAUGGGCGCAAGCCUGAUGCAGCGACGCCGCGUGAGGGAUGGAGGCCUUCGGGUUGUGAACCUCUUUCGCCAGUGAAGCAGGCCUGCUCCUGUGUGGGUGGGUUGACGGUAGCUGGAGAAGAAGCGCCGGCUAACUACGUG